UACGUAGGGGGCAAGCGUUGUCCGGAAUCAUUGGGCGUAAAGCGCGCGUAGGUGGCUCAGUAAGUCCGUUGUGAAAGUCAAAGGCUCAACCUUUGAAAGCCGAUGGAUACUGCUGAGCUUGAGUCCGGAAGAGGCGAGUGGAAUUCCUGGUGUAGCGGUGGAAUGCGCAGAUAUCAGGAGGAACACCAAUAGCGAAGGCAGCUCGCUGGGACGGUACUGACACUAAGGCGCGAAAGCGUGGGGAGCGAACAGG
RNAcentral lists this ribosomal RNA (253 nucleotides) under uncultured bacterium. RNAcentral's name for it is "partial 16S ribosomal RNA". It matches the Rfam family "Bacterial small subunit ribosomal RNA", at positions 524 to 776 of the family's 1533-position model. The record is from RNAcentral.